Molecule: ribosomal RNA, 372 nt
Filed under: uncultured bacterium
Lineage: Bacteria
Description: bacterial SSU rRNA
Rfam family: Bacterial small subunit ribosomal RNA
Source: RNAcentral
GGGGGGAGCAAGCGUUGUUCGGAUUCAUUGGGCGUAAAGAGCUCGUAGGUGGCUCUGUAAGUCGGUGGUGAAAGCCCACGGCUCAACCGUGGAUACGCCUCCGAAACUGUGGAGCUUGAGGCUGGGAGAGGAAAUCGGAAUUCCUGGUGUAGCGGUGAAAUGCGUAGAUAUCAGGAGGAACACCGGUGGCGAAGGCGGAUUUCUGGACCAGUUCUGACACUGAGGAGCGAAAGCCAGGGGAGCAAACAGGAUUAGAUACCCUGGUAGUCCUGGCUGUAAACGAUGGGCACUAGGUGUGGGGGGAUCGACCCCUUCCGUGCCGCAGUUAACGCAUUAAGUGCCCCGCCUGGGGAGUACGACCGCAAGGUUGAA